CAGGGGAUAACAUUUGGAAACAAGUGCUAAUACCGUAUAAUACCAACAACCGCAUGGUUGUUGGUUGCAAGAUGGUUCUGCUAUCACUAAGAGAUGGACCCGCGGUGCAUUAGCUAGUUGGUAAGGUAACGGCUUACCAAGGCAAUGAUGCAUAGCCGAGUUGAGAGACUGAUCGGCCACAAUGGGACUGAGACACGGCCCAUACUCCUACGGGAGGCAGCAGUAGGGAAUCUUCCACAAUGGGCGCAAGCCUGAUGGAGCAACGCCGCGUGUGUGAUGAAGGGUUUCGGCUCGUAAAACACUGUUAUAAGAGAAGAACGGCACUGAGAGUAACUGUUCAGUGUGUGACGGUAUCUUACCAGAAAGGAACGGCUAAAUACGUGCCAGCAGCCGCGGUAAUACGUAUGUUCCAAGCGUUAUCCGGAUUUAUUGGGCGUAAAGCGAGCGCAGACGGUUAUUUAAGUCUGAAGUGAAAGCCCUCAGCUCAACUGAGGAAUGGCUUUGGAAACUGGAUGACUUGAGUGCAGUAGAGGAAAGUGGAACUCCAUGUGUAGCGGUGAAAUGCGUAGAUAUAUGGAAGAACACCAGUGGCGAAGGCGGCUUUCUGGACUGUAACUGACGUUGAGGCU
This 629-nucleotide ribosomal RNA is filed under the name uncultured bacterium. RNAcentral describes it as "bacterial SSU rRNA". It matches the Rfam family "Bacterial small subunit ribosomal RNA", at positions 137 to 753 of the family's 1533-position model. The record is from RNAcentral.